Molecule: ribosomal RNA, 497 nt
Filed under: uncultured bacterium
Lineage: Bacteria
Description: partial 16S ribosomal RNA
Rfam family: Bacterial small subunit ribosomal RNA
Source: RNAcentral
GAUGAACGCUGGCGGCGUGCCUAAUACAUGCAAGUCGAGCGAAUGGACGAGAAGCUUGCUUUUCUGAUGUUAGCGGCGGACGGGUGAGUAACACGUGGAUAACCUACCUAUAAGACUGGGAUAACUUCGGGAAACCGGAGCUAAUACCGGAUAAUAUUUUGAACCGCAUGGUUCAAAAGUGAAAGACGGUCUUGCUGUCACUUAUAGAUGGAUCCGCGCUGCAUUAGCUAGUUGGUAAGGUAACGGCUUACCAAGGCAACGCUGCAUAGCCGACCUGAGAGGGGGAUAGGCCACACUGGAACUGAGCCACGGACCAGACCCCUACGGGAGGCAGCAGUAGGGAAUCUUCCGCAAUGGGCGAAAGCCUGACGGAGCAACGCCGCGUGAGUGAUGAAGGUCUUCGGAUCGUAAAACUCUGUUAUUAGGGAAGAACAUAUGUGUAAGUAACUGUGCACAUCUUGACGGUACCUAAUCAGAAAGCCACGGCUAACUACGUG